This 4497-nucleotide long non-coding RNA is filed under the name Homo sapiens (human). RNAcentral describes it as "HSALNT0409477". The record is from RNAcentral. Lineage: Eukaryota; Metazoa; Chordata; Mammalia; Primates; Hominidae.
ACUCUUCCUAACACUACCAACCUAUCUUGGGGAGUGCGGGAGGGUGGGGAACAUUAAAUCCUGGGCUCGGCCUCAGGCCGACAGAGCCGAAAGUGGCCUCGGGAACCUAUGCCUGUUAAAAAAAGAACUACAAGUCCCAGCAGGCUGAGCGGCUACGGCUCUCUGGACCUGCUCGGGAUUGGAGCGUAAUGCAACGUUCUAGGAAAGAGAGUAUUUCUUCUGGGUGUGGCCAACCCGGAUUUGUAGUUCCCAGGCCGGUGUUCCCGUAUGGUCUCACUCUGUCAUGCAUGAUGGACUGCAGUGGUGCAAUCAUGGCUCACUGUAGCUUCGACCACCCUGGCUCCGGUCAUCAUCCUACCUCAGCCUCCCAGGUAUGUGGGAUUACAGGUAUGUGCUAACAUGCUCAGCUAAUUUUUAAUUUUUUGUGGAAACAGGAUUUUGCCAUGUUGCUCAAGAUGAUCUCAAACUCCUGGCCUCAGGCAAUCCUUCUGCCUCAGCCUCCCAUCCUUCCCCCACAUACUGAGGCAAAGAUACAGGUGUGAACCACUGAAACUAUCAAAAGGGAAAAUUACAACACCUUUACUUAUACAGAUAAUUGGCUUUUAUUUGCAAGUCAUGAAGGAGCAUCCUCCAUUCUACAAAAUGGAGUGAUAGAUCCCACUGGCAAGUAGUAGAACGGUGGAUUUUGUAUGGUGAGAGCAAAGAUAUGAAACAACAGAAAAAUGACUAGUUGACAUGAGGUUACUUUUUUGAAAGGGAUAAAGCAGAGUAUGGUUCGUUAUUGCACUGAAUUGGGUAGACUGUAAUCUCUUGUUUUCAGAAAAAAAAGAUGGCUUUCAGGAUCUAUCUCUUUCCCUCAUAUUUCAGAUUAAUUUACCUGAUAUUAUGUGAAACUUAGCAUGAGUGACUCCAUUUUAGUUUGACCUGGUCUGUUGCUGCCUAAUUUUGGAGCUCAAUACAAAACCAUGGCCCCAUCAUUUUUGUUUGGCAGCACUGAAAACUAAAAUACACAAUUUUCACUGAUUCUCUGAGUCUUUAUUUCUUAAGGCUCUUAUGUCACCUGAAACUUCGUUGAAUAAAUUUGUUAUGUUUUUCCCUUGUUAAUUUGUUUUUAUUCAUAGUGGUGUCAGUCAUCAACCUUGUGAUCACUGAGGAAAAGAUACAAUAAUCCUUGCCUAUCCGUGAGUUCUGUCUAUAUGUAUUCAACCAAGUUUAGAUUGAAAAUAUUUUGGGGAAAAAUGGAAGGGUGCACCUGUACUGAACAUGUUCCAACAUUUUCUUGUCAUUGUUACUUAAAUAAUACAGUAUAACAACUAUUUACAUAGCAUUUACACUGCUUUAGUAAUUAUAAAUAAUCUAGGGAUGAUUUAUUUAGAUAGUCUAGGAAUGAUUUAAAUAAUCGAGGAUGGUGAUAUAUGGGAGGAUGUACAUAGGUUAUACAUAAAUACUACACCAUUUUAUAUCAGGGUCUCAAACAUUCAUGUACUUUGGUAUCCAACAGGGAUUCUGGAAUCAAUCCUCCACAGAUAGCAAGGGAUAACUGUAUUAGUUUUUCUUUUCUACACUGUUUAAUGGAUGCUGCACCCUUCCUACUCUAGGACCCAACCAGGAUCCUGAGCCCUCACUUUCUCCCUGCGUUCCUCAUGAUCCAUUUGACUAUAAUGCAGAAAGUUUGUUUAGCUACUGGCUGGUAUCUGUAACUCCUAUGACAGCUCACACUCCUUGAAGAAGAAGAGAGAAAACAGAAGACUUGUCCUGUGGAUAGAUUAUUUCUUCUUCUGUUUGUUUGUUCUUUGUAUGCUCUCGACAACAUCCACAUACACAAAUGCACAUACAUAAACACAGAAACUUUUUCUUAACAUGGACAAUCUGAAAGAGAAAGCAGCACAACAACCAUUUUGGAUGAUCGAGACUAUUUUUAUAUUAUUACAGUACAAUUGCAGAAUGAAUUCAAAAGGGCAAGCCCCUAGCAAUGAUAAUGCUAAAUGGCUGGUGGAUGUAAAUAAUUAGUGGUCAAUAUAUUAUCCAUGAUAUGUGGCAAGUUUGAAAGUUGGAAAUGCAGAAUCCCUGUUCUGGUCAUAUUAUUGUACUUGGAUCUGCUGGGAACCAUUUGAUACUCUGGGAUUCUCAUUGAGAAUCCAGUGAUAGCUAAUGUUGAAUAUUGCUUGCUGCUGGGCAACAGUGACUGUCAAAACAUUCCGUCACCACUUUUUUUUUUCAGUUUAGAAAAAGGGUCUUGGAUGUUGCCUAGGCUGGCCGGAAACUCCUGAAGUCAAGUGAUUCUCCUGUCUUUGCCUUUAGUUCUGGAAGUACUGGGAGUGAACCUCUGCACCAGGAUUUCCCUCACCAUUUUCUGUAAAAUGGCUUACUACAAAGAACAUUUCUGUAGUAUAUUUUUAUGUAUGUAUGUAUUAUGUAUUUAUUUAUUUAUUUAUUUUUGAGACAGAGUCACAAUGCUGCCCAGGCCCUAGUGCAGUGGUGUGAUCUUAGCUUACUGCAACAUCUGCUUCUGUGUUCAAGAGAUUCUCCUGCCUUAGCCUGUGGAGUAGCUGGAAUUACAGGUGCACACCACCAAGCCCGGCUAAUUUUUAUCUUCUUUGGUAGAGACCGUGUACACACACACACACACACACACACACACACACACAUUUAGGUAGAUACGAGGUCUCGCUCACAGCAGCUUCAGCAAACACAGAUUUCUGGUGUUGGAGGACAGAUUUAACUACAGAAAAUUCUGUUGGGCAAUCGGAAGCCUCAAUCUAUACAGACUUUUAGGAGGAGCCUGCCUGUUUGGUUCAAAUUUAGCCAAAAUAUUUUUUUUUUACCACUGAUUCAGUAAAUCUCCUAACUUUGCAGGAACUGGGAUCCUAAAAAUUAUGGAACGAAUUGUAGAAACUCAAGCAACUUUCUCCAAAGCCUAGGGUUCAGCAAGAGUAAGCAAGAGGCACUGAGCCGCUGGAGUCUGCACAUUGAUAAAUUUACUUACAGUCGUAAAUAAAUUGCAUCAUCUUCAGCUAGUAACACAGAGUCUAAUUUUUAUAGCGGCAUACUUGCCUCCACGACUUUCCUAGACACCAGAAAGAAAGGCGAGAGCCAGCCUUAGCCUAAUCAAGAACCAUGAUCCAAAAAGGAGUGGGAGGAACCUAGCGGCCACGUGGGAAUCCCAGCCCUCCUAUUAAGCCUACCCUCUUUGCAAAUUGUGACUGUGAGCUCCUGGUUUACAGAAAUAUAUCCCAGAACUCAAGCAACAUGAGCCACUAUAAUUGUCUCUGGAAGGUGACCCAUUUGCAGAUAGGGACUUCCCUGAAGGUUGGGGCCCUCAUGAGCUAUGCUUUCCACCAAGUUGUCUCUAUAAGGACCAGUUCCAGGACCUCAGGGAGGAAAUUUCACUUUCUGCCUUGGUGGAAUGUGAAGUGAGUGGCUCCCCGGCCACACCCCACCCUCCAUAAAAUAGAAGGUAAAUCCCAACUGCCAAAAGCUUUUUGUCCUCCUCUCAGGGAUACUAAUUAAAGCAGUUGGGCUACUUUUUCAUGCAUUUCAUCUCAAGUUGUCUUUCUGCCUAUCUCCUGAGCCCAGCGAAAGAGUUCCUUAAAAUAACCCUCAAACCUCUGUAGUAAAGGACCACACAAAUAACGAAUGCCAUGAAAAAACAGGGCUAGAGGUUUCAGAGGAUGAGAAAGGAAGAGCAGCCAGAACACUGGCUGUCUAGGUAUGCUACUGGUGCCUGACUCUGCACCUGUGUGUGUCUGUGUGCUGUGUUCCAAUGGCAGAGCAUCGGGGCCACCAGAACUCUCUCAGCUACCGCACAUGGAGAGGGAGGAGUGAUAAAGAGAAAUCAAGAAACUCAGUUUCUUUGAAAUGGAAAUCAAUAAACUCAGUUUCCUCAAAGUUCAAAAUACAUGAGACUGCCUACCCUCCUUGGAAGGCAAGGUGGGGCUUUCUGAAGCAAAUACCAGCUUUAAAAAAAAAUGUAUAUAUAUAUGAAGAUAUAUACAAAAAAAAAAUUUCCCCACAACCAGACAAUCAGAAUCAUCAAACCCAGAAGGGUUAAAGAAAAAGAAAAGGCCCAGGAAAGUAUGAUUGGUGGGGAUCAAAAGUAUCUCUCCACAGUGGUAAAUGAGAAUUCUCAAAAAGAGUAAAAUUAUAAUUCUCAUGCACAUAUAAAAUAAAUAUGUAUUACAGAUUUUACUUAAACCAUAUAGCUCAAAAUUAGCUAACAAGGAAGACAUUAUAACCUGUUCAAAGAGAAGCCAAAGAAGGGAAAUUUAUAUGCUGUAAAGAAAUAUUUAAAGGAAUAUGGCAAAACUGACUCUUAAUAGGAGAUGCCCUAUGUGGUACAUAAUUUGUUUGUGUAUCUACACACAUGAAUUAUUUUGCACUUGUAUCACUAUCUACAACUUACACUGUUGUAAAGUAACUCCCACACAAUCAGAAUCAUAUAACCCAAAAAGGUAUCUUCCCUAACCAAACAAGGUUUUCCAAUAAAGCACUAUUUUG